Populus trichocarpa (black cottonwood) is the source of this 600-nucleotide non-coding RNA. The record is from Rfam. Lineage: Eukaryota; Viridiplantae; Streptophyta; Magnoliopsida; Malpighiales; Salicaceae.
CCCGCUGAGUUUAAGCAUAUCAAUAAGCAGAGGAAAAGAAACUUACAAGGAUUCCCCUAGUAACGGUGAGCGAACCGGGAAAUGCCCAGCUUGAGAAUCUAGCGCCUGCGGCGUCCGAAUUGUAGUCUGGAGAAGCGUCCUCAGCGACGGACCAAGCCCAAGUCCCCUGGAAAAGGGCGCCGGAGAGGGCGAGAGCCCCGUCGUGGCUGGACCCUGCCGCACCAUGAGGCAUUGUCUGCGAGUCGGAUUGUUUGAGAAUGCAGCCCCAAUCGAGCGGUAAAUUCCAAAUACGGGCCAGAGACCGAUAGCAAACAAGUACCGCGAGGGAAAGAUGAAAAGGACUUUGAAAAGAGAGUCAAAGAGUGCCUGAAAUUGUCGGGAGGGAAGUGGAUGGGGGGCGUCCAUGCACCCCGGUCGGAUGUGGAACGGUUACGGCCGGUCCGCCGAUUGGCUCGGGGCGUGGACCGAUGCGGAUCGCGGUGGCGGCCCAAGCCCGGGCCUUUGAAACGCCCGCGGAGACGUCGUCAAGGAGUGCCCCGGCACAUGCGCGCUCCGGGCAUCGGCCUAUGGGAUCCCUAUUCGUCUCGUCUUGAAACACGG